Gopherus evgoodei (Goodes thornscrub tortoise) is the source of this 150-nucleotide long non-coding RNA. RefSeq lists it as uncharacterized. The transcript is spliced from 3 exons. Lineage: Eukaryota; Metazoa; Chordata; Testudines; Testudinidae. The record is from RefSeq and is a predicted model, not a curated record.
AUGGUAGGAGAGAGAUCACUUGAUCAUUGUCUGUUAGGUUCAUUCCCUCUGGGGCACCUGGCAUUGGCCACGGUCGGUAGACAGAUGCUGGGCUAGACUGACCUUUAGUCUGACCCAGUACAGCUGUUCUUAUAAUCCUUUCCUGGACUG